This 447-nucleotide ribosomal RNA is filed under the name uncultured bacterium. RNAcentral's name for it is "bacterial SSU rRNA". It matches the Rfam family "Bacterial small subunit ribosomal RNA", at positions 330 to 792 of the family's 1533-position model. The record is from RNAcentral.
GCCAGACUCCUACGGGAGGCAGCAGUUAGGAAUAUUGGGCAAUGGAGGAAACUCUGACCCAGCAACGCCGCGUGAAGGAAGAAGGUUUUCGGAUUGUAAACUUCUGAUCUGUGGGACGAAGAAAGUGACGGUACCACAGGAGAAAGUCACGGCUAACUACGUGCCAGCAGCCGCGGUAAUACGUAGGUGGCAAGCGUUAUCCGGAAUGAUUGGGCGUAAAGGGUGCGCAGGCGGCGUGGCAAGUCUGAAGUGAAAGGUACGGGCUCAACCUGUACAGGCUUUGGAAACUGCCACGCUCGAGGACAGGAGAGGGCGGUGGAACUCCAUGUGUAGCGGUAAAAUGCGUAGAUAUAUGGAAGAACACCAGUGGCGAAGGCGGCCGCCUGGACUGUUACUGACGCUCAGGCACGAAAGCGUGGGGAGCAAAUAGGAUUAGAUACCCGCGUA